GGCAUACAUUCUCUCUGUUAGGCAUUAUAAACGGAUGACAAAAUAUCUACGGAAAUAUAAAUAAAUGUGAGACAACAUCUUUUGAGUAACGUCACCAUUUAUUUACCACCAGCCUAGCAUAGAAUGUCUCUCGCUCAUGAGCGUAAUGAAAGUCACUUUUCUGAACAAAGUUUGGCAAAGAUCUAUAUUCGGGCUUACACAUGCUCUUCAGUUCAUUUAACCCACACCGAAAGCUGCUGUAAAUGAAUUGGAAAAAAACUGUUUUAUUCAAUAUUUAGACGGCUAGAAGGAAUUAAGUUGCUUGCAACCAGCUGUUAGCAUAUAUAAAAGAUGGUCGGACGCAUGAGAUUCAAACUAGU
Molecule: long non-coding RNA, 359 nt
Organism: Haliotis rubra (blacklip abalone)
Lineage: Eukaryota; Metazoa; Mollusca; Gastropoda; Lepetellida; Haliotidae
Exons: 2
Source: RefSeq, a predicted model, not a curated record